AAAGAAAUUAGGUUCAAACCUUUAAACCGAGGGCCUUCAAAGCCCUAAAAGAGGGUAACCACCCCCUCAUUUCUUG
This 76-nucleotide transfer RNA is filed under the name Caiman crocodilus (spectacled caiman). RNAcentral's name for it is "tRNA-Trp". Lineage: Eukaryota; Metazoa; Chordata; Crocodylia; Alligatoridae. The record is from RNAcentral.